RNAcentral lists this ribosomal RNA (446 nucleotides) under uncultured bacterium. RNAcentral's name for it is "partial 16S ribosomal RNA". It matches the Rfam family "Bacterial small subunit ribosomal RNA", at positions 338 to 795 of the family's 1533-position model. The record is from RNAcentral.
CCUACGGGAGGCUGCAGUCGAGAAUCAUUCACAAUGGGGGAAACUCUGAUGGUGCGACGCCGCGUGGGGGAAUGAAGGUCUUCGGAUUGUAAACCCCUGUCAUGUGGGAGCAAAUUAAAAAGAUAGUACCACAAGAGGAAGAGACGGCUAACUCUGUGCCAGCAGCCGCGGUAAUACAGAGGUCGCAAGCGUUGUUCGGAAUCACUGGGCGUAAAGCGUGCGUAGGCUGUUUCGUAAGUCGUGUGUGAAAGGCGCGGGCUCAACCCGCGGACGGCACCUGAUACUGCGAGACUGGAGUGGUGGAGAGGGAACCGGAAUUCGCGGUGUAGGAGUGAAAUGCGUAGAUAUCGAGAGGAACACUAGUGGCGAAGGCGGGUUCCUGGACAUUAACUGACGCUGAGGCACGAAGGCGAGGGGAGCGAAAGGGAUUAGAUACCCGGGUAGUC